RNAcentral lists this ribosomal RNA (1079 nucleotides) under Staphylococcus aureus. RNAcentral's name for it is "partial 23S ribosomal RNA". It matches the Rfam family "Bacterial large subunit ribosomal RNA", at positions 57 to 1132 of the family's 2925-position model. The record is from RNAcentral. Lineage: Bacteria; Bacillati; Bacillota; Bacilli; Caryophanales; Staphylococcaceae.
CGUUACUAACGACGAUAUGCUUUGGGGAGCUGUAAGUAAGCUUUGAUCCAGAGAUUUCCGAAUGGGGAAACCCAGCAUGAGUUAUGUCAUGUUAUCGAUAUGUGAAUACAUAGCAUAUCAGAAGGCACACCCGGAGAACUGAAACAUCUUAGUACCCGGAGGAAGAGAAAGAAAAUUCGAUUCCCUUAGUAGCGGCGAGCGAAACGGGAAGAGCCCAAACCAACAAGCUUGCUUGUUGGGGUUGUAGGACACUCUAUACGGAGUUACAAAGGACGACAUUAGACGAAUCAUCUGGAAAGAUGAAUCAAAGAAGGUAAUAAUCCUGUAGUCGAAAAUGUUGUCUCUCUUGAGUGGAUCCUGAGUACGACGGAGCACGUGAAAUUCCGUCGGAAUCUGGGAGGACCAUCUCCUAAGGCUAAAUACUCUCUAGUGACCGAUAGUGAACCAGUACCGUGAGGGAAAGGUGAAAAGCACCCCGGAAGGGGAGUGAAAUAGAACCUGAAACCGUGUGCUUACAAGUAGUCAGAGCCCGUUAAUGGGUGAUGGCGUGCCUUUUGUAGAAUGAACCGGCGAGUUACGAUUUGAUGCAAGGUUAAGCAGUAAAUGUGGAGCCGUAGCGAAAGCGAGUCUGAAUAGGGCGUUUAGUAUUUGGUCGUAGACCCGAAACCAGGUGAUCUACCCUUGGUCAGGUUGAAGUUCAGGUAACACUGAAUGGAGGACCGAACCGACUUACGUUGAAAAGUGAGCGGAUGAACUGAGGGUAGCGGAGAAAUUCCAAUCGAACCUGGAGAUAGCUGGUUCUCUCCGAAAUAGCUUUAGGGCUAGCCUCAAGUGAUGAUUAUUGGAGGUAGAGCACUGUUUGGACGAGGGGCCCCUCUCGGGUUACCGAAUUCAGACAAACUCCGAAUGCCAAUUAAUUUAACUUGGGAGUCAGAACAUGGGUGAUAAGGUCCGUGUUCGAAAGGGAAACAGCCCAGACCACCAGCUAAGGUCCCAAAAUAUAUGUUAAGUGGAAAAGGAUGUGGCGUUGCCCAGACAACUAGGAUGUUGGCUUAGAAGCAGCCAUCAUUUAAAGAGUG